This 301-nucleotide ribosomal RNA is filed under the name uncultured bacterium. Its description in RNAcentral is "partial 16S ribosomal RNA". It matches the Rfam family "Bacterial small subunit ribosomal RNA", at positions 509 to 807 of the family's 1533-position model. The record is from RNAcentral.
CAGCCGCCGCGGUAAUACGUAGGUGGCAAGCGUUGUCCGGAAUUAUUGGGCGUAAAGGGCUCGCAGGCGGUUUCUUAAGUCUGAUGUGAAAGCCCCCGGCUCGACCGGGGAGGGUCAUUGGAAACUGGGAAACUUGAGUGCAGAAGAGGAGAGUGGAAUUCCACGUGUAGCGGUGAAAUGCGUAGAGAUGUGGAGGAACACCAGUGGCGAAGGCGACUCUCUGGUCUGUAACUGACGCUGAGGAGCGAAAGCGUGGGGAGCGAACAGGAUUAGAGACCCCCGUAGUCCCUGUCUCUUAUAC